GAAAGACUCUCUGAGCAUUUAUCUGUUUAUUUUGGAAGCGGUACAACUGCCGUUUCAUCGACGGUUUUCUAUCUGGCAUAUCUGGCGCCGCUGAUAACUUGGUAAUGCCAGAGAACGACGAGGUCGUGCCUAUUCAAUUUAGUGAUGUCAAGUGUCAUCGUGUUGUUAUCCAGAUUUCUAACUGCUAUUUUAAAAGAGGUUUGCCUAGCUGAGGUGACUUCUAUGGGAAAAUCCGAAGAUGGUCGCUGAAGCUAAUUUAUAGGAUGGAGAGUCUUUCUUAAAAAAAUAAAGCAGCUGGAUCGGAGUGCGUGCAAUACAAUCACUUCACAAACAUAGAUCGCUCAGCGGAGAUUACGGAUUGUUAAGAAGCUUCUGAGAAAGCGCGUUGGCUAACCGUCCUAAUAAGAAAAAGAAAAGUUGGCACACAUAGAAUGUUCUUGCCGACAGCUUCA
Molecule: long non-coding RNA, 452 nt
Organism: Varroa destructor (honeybee mite)
Lineage: Eukaryota; Metazoa; Arthropoda; Arachnida; Mesostigmata; Varroidae
Source: RefSeq, a predicted model, not a curated record